GAUGAACGCUGGCGGCGUGCUUAGCACAUGCAAGUCGAGCGAAGCACUUAAGUUUGAUUCUUCGGAUGAAGACUUUUGUGACUGAGCGGCGGACGGGUGAGUAACGCGUGGGUAACCUGCCUCAUACAGGGGGAUAACAGUUAGAAAUGGCUGCUAAUACCGCAUAAGACCACAGUACUGCAUGGUACAGUGGUAAAAACUCCGGUGGUAUGAGAUGGACCCGCGUCUGAUUAGGUAGUUGGUGAGGUAACGGCCCACCAAGCCGACGAUCAGUAGCCGACCUGAGAGGGUGACCGGCCACAUUGGGACUGAGACACGGCCCAGACUCCUACGGGAGGCAGCAGUGGGGAAUAUUGCACAAUGGGCGAAAGCCUGAUGCAGCGACGCCGCGUGAAGGAUGAAGUAUUUCGGUAUGUAAACUUCUAUCAGCAGGGAAGAAAAUGACGGUACCUGACUAAGAAGCCCCGGCUAACUACGUGCCAGCCGCCGCGGUAA
Molecule: ribosomal RNA, 495 nt
Filed under: uncultured Lachnospiraceae bacterium
Lineage: Bacteria; Bacillati; Bacillota; Clostridia; Lachnospirales; Lachnospiraceae
Description: bacterial SSU rRNA
Rfam family: Bacterial small subunit ribosomal RNA
Source: RNAcentral